GGCCGCUCAGGUGGCUUAGUGGUAAGAGCGUCCGCCUCGGAUAUAGGAGAUCGUGGGUUCGAACCCCGGCCAGGUCA
Non-coding RNA from Potamilus streckersoni, 77 nucleotides. NCBI's taxonomy places the organism in Eukaryota, Metazoa, Mollusca, Bivalvia, Unionida, Unionidae. The record is from the annotation of a GenBank genome assembly.